CAUGUAGGCGGUCUGCUAAGUUCGGAGUGACAGUCACCAGCUUAACUGGUGAAGUGCUUUGAAAACUGGCUGACUUGAGAGCGAGAGAGGGACACGGAAUUCCGGGUGGAGCAGUGAAAUGCGUAGAGAUCCGGAGGAACACCAAAGGCGAAGGCAGUGUCCUGGCUCGUUUCUGACGCUGAGGUGCGAAAGCCAGGGGAGCGAACGGGAUUAGAUACCCCGGUAGUCCUGGCCGUAAACGAUGACCACCAGGCGUGGGAGGGAUCGACCCCUUCCGUGCCGUAGUCAACACAUUAAGUGGUCCGCCUGGGGAGUACGGUCGCAAGACUAAA
RNAcentral lists this ribosomal RNA (332 nucleotides) under uncultured bacterium. Its description in RNAcentral is "bacterial SSU rRNA". It matches the Rfam family "Bacterial small subunit ribosomal RNA", at positions 568 to 898 of the family's 1533-position model. The record is from RNAcentral.